Long non-coding RNA from Nicrophorus vespilloides, 1590 nucleotides. RefSeq lists it as uncharacterized. The record is from RefSeq and is a predicted model, not a curated record. Lineage: Eukaryota; Metazoa; Arthropoda; Insecta; Coleoptera; Silphidae. The transcript has 3 exons.
UUCAAUUUUAUAUUCAAAAUUGAGGUUUUGUGAUGCAUUUGGUGCGAUCAUAGAGAAAUGUAUUAACAAAUUGGUGCAAAUCUCGACAAGUGUUUUUGAACAUAACCGUGAACUUCUUCAUGACUCUCAUCAAUAUUUACGACACGACCCAAGAUCGAGACACGCGUUAUUUGAUAUGGACAGCAUUGCUGUGAACAAUGAUGUAGCAAAACAAAAAAAUACGUAUAUAAACUUGCUUUCACGAAUUUGUGAAAUAUAUGUACCACAGGUGGCUCAUUUGCACUAAUAAUUAGUUUAUUUUUCAAUUAAGAUAAAGUAAAGUGUUUUGUUGGAUUCUUAUGAAGUAUUUAGUUUGAUGUUGUGCGAGGAACGAAAACUGGAUGUGGUCAAGUUCGUUGCGUUGUGAAAUGUGGAAAAAAAGUAAAUGUAUUGAUAACUGGUAUUGCAGUUUAAAAGUCCGCGAAUUCUUCAAUAAACAUGUCUCCCCUCUUAUUCGGUCGGUAAGAGCUGCUGAAAAUUGAGAUUUUUACCAUGAAUUCCUCUGUUGGAAACCGUGCCUUAUGCACGUGGGUCCGCAUUAUUUUUGUGCAAGUACUUGAAUGCAUGCAUGCAGGCAGCAUGCGUGUCCUCUGGUCCAUCCAGUCAGUGGGUUCGCAGAGCGUGAAAAGAAACUAAAGCGAAACGUGUAAUAAAUGCACAAAGAGAUCUGCACGCCAUGAGAGGAAGGAAUGAAAGAGUGUGAGAGAGAGAGAUGAUGAAGAGGAGAAAGGAGGGAAAGAGAAAAAUAGGAGUCCACGAAAAACUGGUUUUGUGCAUACGGUUGCAGUUAUUCGAUUACGCCAGAGUGCAAUGCCGCCUAUGCUGAAUGCAUCUCGAGAAAGAAGGAAAGAGAAAGAGGUGUAAGGAAAAGAAAAAAAAAAUGGCAGAGUGAAAGAGCGGAGAAAGAAGAGUAACGAGGAGGAGAUGAAGAAGAAAGUCCUUCGAAACGAGCGAACCAAAAAAAUAAAUAAAGAGAGGAACGUCCAUCCUUUUCCUUUGUCAUCAAAUUGGGUCAUGGGAGAUCGGGUUCUCUCUGUGUUCUUUGUUGGACCAACAGUAGUAGCAGUAGAGUAGGGCGAACAUUUUUAUCUAGGAGGACUAGGGACCGACCCUUUUUCACACUAUAACCACACCCAUCGUGGGAAACCCAUGUGCUCUUUGUGUGUGUGCGUGUUUAUGUAAGUGCACGUUCGAAUUUUUAUUUUCCGAAAAAACCCCAAUGGUUUGCUUCUUCUGCCUCUUCGUCAGAGCUCGAGCUUUCCAUUUUGCUAGUAGUUUCCGUGCGACAGCCGAGCCGGCAUAUCAAAAGCGCAGCCAUCCAUCCAUCCAACGGGUCUCGACCAUCAUCAUCAUCCUGUACGUGCAGUGCAGCAGUUUCGAUACAGUUUCAUUAAACCUAGAAGAAAGAUGCGUGUGUACCAGGACGACAUAAAGGAUGAGAAGAAGGUCUUUCGCGCGCUCCCUCUGGAAGUUUUGUUUCCACUUGGCCGGUGGCCGUCUUUUAACCCGUUUGUACCCGUACAUCCGAACUUGUGUGUUAUUCCGUCGCAA